RNAcentral lists this non-coding RNA (81 nucleotides) under Candidatus Kentrum eta. The record is from RNAcentral. Lineage: Bacteria; Pseudomonadati; Pseudomonadota; Gammaproteobacteria.
UGAUACCGUUAUUGUGCGGGCAGCCGUAAGGCUGGCCGUUUCUCCAUUCGGUACCGCUACCCCGCGCAAUCUGCCGCCCAU